Molecule: ribosomal RNA, 384 nt
Filed under: uncultured bacterium
Lineage: Bacteria
Description: bacterial SSU rRNA
Rfam family: Bacterial small subunit ribosomal RNA
Source: RNAcentral
ACUCCUACGGGAGGCAGCAGUGGGGAAUAUUGCACAAUGGGGAAACCCUGAUGCAGCCAUGCCGCGUGUGUGAAGAAGGCCUUCGGUUGUAAGCACUUCAGUAGGAGGAAGGUAGUGUAGUUAACACCUGCAUUAUUUGUACGUUACCUUACCAGAAGAAGCACCGGCUAACUCCGUGCCAGCAGCCGCGGUAAUACGGAGGGGUGCGAGCGUUAAUCGGAAUUACUGGGCGUAAAGCGCAUGCUAGGCGGCCUGUUAAGUUCAGAUGUGAAAGCCCGGGGGCGUUAACCUCGGAAUUGCAUUUGAAACUGGCAGGCUAGAGUCUUGUAGAGGGGGUAGGAAUUUCAGGUGUAGCGGUGAAAUGCGUAGAGAUCUGAAGGAAUA